UACCAUGGUGGUAACGGGUAACGGGGUGUUAGGGCACGACACCGGAGAGGGAGCCUGAGAAACGGCUACCACAUCCAAGGAAGGCAGCAGGCGCGCAAAUUACCCAAUCCCGACACGGGGAGGUAGUGACAAUAAAUAACAAUACAGGGCUCUUUUGGGUCUUGUAAUUGGAAUGAGUACAAUUUAAAUCUCUUAACGAGGAACAAUUGGAGGGCAAGUCUGGUGCCAGCAGCCGCGGUAAUUCCAGCUCCAAUAGCGAAUAUUAAAGUUGUUGCAGUUAAAAAGCUCGUAGUUGAAUUUCGGAAUCAAUAUGUCGGUCGUGCUUCGGUACGUACUGGUAUCAUUGGUUUCUCCUUUCUGACGAACCAUGAUGUCAUUAAUUUGGUGUUAUGGGGAGUUAGGACUGUUACUUUGAAAAAAUUAGAGUGUUUAAAGCAGGCUUUAGCUUGAAUACAUUAGCAUGGAAUAAUGAAAUAGGACGUUCGAACCUAUUUUGUUGGUUUCUAGGAUCAACGUAAUGAUUAAUAGGGAUAGUUGGGGGCAUUAGUAUUCAAUUGUCAGAGGUGAAAUUCUUGGAUUUAUUGAAGACUAACUACUGCGAAAGCAUUUGCCAAGGAUGUUUUCAUUAAUCAAGAACGAAAGUUAGGGGAUCGAAGACGAUCAGAUACCGUCGUAGUCUUAACCAUAAACUAUGCCGACUAGGGAUCGGAUGAUGUUAAUUUUUUAAUGACUCAUUCGGCGCCUUACGGGAAACCAAAGUGUUU
This 764-nucleotide ribosomal RNA is filed under the name uncultured Glomus. RNAcentral describes it as "SSU rRNA". It matches the Rfam family "Eukaryotic small subunit ribosomal RNA", at positions 342 to 1108 of the family's 1831-position model. Lineage: Eukaryota; Fungi; Glomeromycota; Glomeromycetes; Glomerales; Glomeraceae. The record is from RNAcentral.